Molecule: ribosomal RNA, 483 nt
Filed under: uncultured bacterium
Lineage: Bacteria
Description: partial 16S ribosomal RNA
Rfam family: Bacterial small subunit ribosomal RNA
Source: RNAcentral
GACGAACGCUGGCGGCGUGCUUAACACAUGCAAGUCGAACGAUGAAGCCGGAGCUUGCUCCGGUGGAUUAGUGGCGAACGGGUGAGUAACACGUGAGCAAUCUGCCCUUGACUCUGGGAUAACUGCGGGAAACUGUAGCUAAUACCGGAUACGACACAUUGGGGCAUCCUAGGGUGUGGAAAGAAUUUCGGUCAAGGAUGAGCUCGCGGCCUAUCGGCUAGUUGGUGAGGUAAUGGCUCACCAAGGCGACGACGGGUAGCCGGCCUGAGAGGGUGACCGGCCACACUGGAACUGAGACACGGUCCAGACUCCUACGGGAGGCAGCAGUGGGGAAUAUUGCACAAUGGGCGAAAGCCUGAUGCAGCAACGCCGCGUGAGGGAUGAAGGCCUUCGGGUUGUAAACCUCUUCUAGCAGGGAAGAAGCGAAAGUGACGGUACCUGCAGAAAAAGCACCGGCUAACUACGUGCCAGCCGCCGCAGUAA